GAUGAACGCUGGCGGCGUGCCUAAUACAUGCAAGUCGAGCGAACAGACGAGGAGCUUGCUCCUCUGACGUUAGCGGCGGACGGGUGAGUAACACGUGGAUAACCUACCUAUAAGACUGGGAUAACUUCGGGAAACCGGAGCUAAUACCAGAUAACAUGUUGAACCGCAUGGUUCAACAGUGAAAGACGGUCUUGCUGUCACUUAUAGAUGGAUCCGCGCCGCAUUAGCUAGUUGGUAAGGUAACGGCUUACCAAGGCAACGAUGCGUAGCCGACCUGAGAGGGUGAUCGGCCACACUGGAACUGAGACACGGUCCAGACUCCUAUGGGAGGCAGCAGUAGGGAAUCUUCCGCAAUGGGCGAAAGCCUGACGGAGCAACGCCGCGUGAGUGAUGAAGGUCUUCGGAUCGUAAAACUCUGUUAUUAGGGAAGAACAAAUGUGUAAGUAACUAUGCACGUCUUGACGGCACCUAAUCAGAAAGCCACGGCUAACUACGUG
This 497-nucleotide ribosomal RNA is filed under the name uncultured bacterium. RNAcentral describes it as "partial 16S ribosomal RNA". It matches the Rfam family "Bacterial small subunit ribosomal RNA", at positions 28 to 507 of the family's 1533-position model. The record is from RNAcentral.